AUUUUUGUUGUGAAGGUAUUUGUCAAUAAAAGAAUUAGUUCUUGAAGUAUAGUUCUUCUGUGCUUGAAGGGUGUGAUUGUUGAUUUAUGGGAAAAAGUAGGAUUAUUAAACAUUGAUGCUUAAUUCUGUACAUGGAACCUUGUUGCAUCAAUAUAAUUAUCAUUUAUUGGGAAACCACACUUGAUUUUGCAUUUUAAAAUCACACAAAAAAUAUAAUGAUCAAUUUGCUGUAGCUGGCAGGAACAGCACCAUGAAUUUUCAAUUUUUGGGCAUCAUUGUAAAUCAACCAUUGUCACCCUCUUUAUUAUAUAUUCAUUUGAGCUAGAGCACCUACUGCCAUUUCUGCUUAUUAUGGCAUAAUUGAAGCAACCUACUAACACCAACCAGCUGCCUUGACUAGAUAUUGCUAGUGUUGCUAAGCAGUGAGAACCCUCCAAUUUGGACCCAAACGUCUUCUCAAAACUACUAUUGCUGCUCAAAUGAAUCCUUUUAACACUAAUAUUGACAAUCCAAACUUCAUUAGAUCACUGUUUUGUUGUCUUCCAAAUAAUGGAUAUCAAGUUCUACAUAUACUCCAGUUUUUUUGAGUCAGAAGUCUUGGUGCAUGUGCCAAUUCUCAAACUAAAUUUUAUUUAUAUGAUCUUAUGUUCUGGCAAUUUUAUUCACUAAUGUUGUUAUUGAAUGCUGAAUUUUCCUUUUGACUACGGCAUUAUUAGAUAACAGUGAUAUCAAAACAUAAGCGUGUCUGCGCGCACACACACACACACGCACGCACAAACACAAACAUUUGCUUUGGGCUUUUAUUUUCUUCUUUUCGUGUGUAUGUUUUUAUUGGCAGAAUCAUCCUCAAAACAAGUUUUUCUUUUUUUCCUUUUGAGAAUUAUAGUUUGCAAUGAAAUUGUUAAUAAAACAAGAAAAAAGCAGGUUUGGUCCUUCAAAAGCUAUUAGCUUUCUCAUUUAUUCCCCCCUCCCCUCUCCUUUUUUUCUGCUUUUAGUUUUAAUUAUUGUUGAAGGGAAAAUACUGGUAGUAUUAAGAUAUACAUUUGUCCUCGCUUAUCAUUAUCUUCACGGCUUGCUUGCAAGGAAGCUUGGCUUCUUUUCAUGCGCUAAUUCCAAGAUGUGUUAGUAACUCAUUUGCCAUCCGUGGCUUCAUUUUCUUUGGACAUAGUUUUGGCUCUUUAUAUAGUGCUUAGCAUGUCAUUUUUUAAUGGAAUAUGUUUUGUUAUUUAUCUUAUGCUUUUCACUUUUUAGUUGUUUGGUCUCCCAUGAUAUCCCACUUUGAACUACCACUAGUACAUUGUGUUGAUGAUAUAGUGGAAUUAGAGGAUUUCGUGUUGUCUUGUUCUUAGGCACUAUGUUUCUCAAGAAGCUUAAAGCGUAUUUGUUUGCUCUUAGGAUAACGUUAUCUCCACUCCUG
This 1417-nucleotide unclassified non-coding RNA is filed under the name Hevea brasiliensis (rubber tree). The record is from RNAcentral. Lineage: Eukaryota; Viridiplantae; Streptophyta; Magnoliopsida; Malpighiales; Euphorbiaceae.